Molecule: ribosomal RNA, 468 nt
Filed under: uncultured bacterium
Lineage: Bacteria
Description: partial 16S ribosomal RNA
Rfam family: Bacterial small subunit ribosomal RNA
Source: RNAcentral
GACGAACGCUGGCGGCGUGCUUAACACAUGCAAGUCGAACGGAAAGGCCCUGCUUUUGUGGGGUGCUCGAGUGGCGAACGGGGGAGUAAAACGUGAGUAACCUGCCCUUGACUUUGGGAUAACUUCAGGAAACUGGGGCUAAUACCGGAUAGGAGCUCCUGCUGCAUGGGGGGGGUUGGAAAGUUUCGGCGGUUGGGGAUGGACUCGCGGCUUAUCCGCUUGUUGGUGGGGUAGUGGCUUACGAAGGCUUUGACGGGUAGCCCGCCUGCGAGCGUGACCGGCCACAUUGGGCCUGAGAUACGGCCCAGACGGCUAUGGGAGGCAGCAGUGGGGAAUAUUGCAGAAUGGGCGGACGCCUGAUGCAGCAAUGCCGCGUGCGUGAUGACCGCCUUCUGGUUGUAAACCGCUUUCGCCUGUGACGAAGCGUGAUUGACGGUAAUUGGUAAAGAAGCACCGGCUAACUACGUG